AGGAUUAUAAUUUAAUUAAAAAUAUUUAAAUUGCAAUUAAACUUUGUUAACUUUAACUAAUCUUA
This 65-nucleotide transfer RNA is filed under the name Triaenodes qinglingensis. RNAcentral describes it as "tRNA-Ala". Lineage: Eukaryota; Metazoa; Arthropoda; Insecta; Trichoptera; Leptoceridae. The record is from RNAcentral.